This 496-nucleotide ribosomal RNA is filed under the name uncultured bacterium. Its description in RNAcentral is "partial 16S ribosomal RNA". It matches the Rfam family "Bacterial small subunit ribosomal RNA", at positions 28 to 507 of the family's 1533-position model. The record is from RNAcentral.
GAUGAACGCUGGCGGCGUGCCUAAUACAUGCAAGUCGAGCGAACAGACGAGGAGCUUGCUCCUCUGACGUUAGCGGCGGACGGGUGAGUAACACGUGGAUAACCUACCUAUAAGACUGGGAUAACUUCGGGAAACCGGAGCUAAUACCGGAUAAUAUAUUGAACCGCAUGGUUCAAUAGUGAAAGACGGUUUUGCUGUCACUUAUAGAUGGAUCCGCGCCGCAUUAGCUAGUUGGUAAGGUAACGGCUUACCAAGGCAACGAUGCGUAGCCGACCUGAGAGGGUGAUCGGCCACACUGGAACUGAGACACGGUCCAGACUCCUACGGAAGGCAGCAGUAGGGAAUCUUCCGCAAUGGGCGAAAGCCUGACGGAGCAACGCCGCGUGAGUGAUGAAGGUCUUCGGAUCGUAAAACUCUGUUAUAGGGAAGAACAAAUGUGUAAGUAACUAUGCACGUCUUGACGGUACCUAAUCAGAAAGCCACGGCUAACUACGUG